AUUGAACGCUGGCGGCAUGCUUUACACAUGCAAGUCGAACGGUAACAGGCCGCAAGGUGCUGACGAGUGGCGAACGGGUGAGUAAUGCAUCGGAACGUGCCCAGUCGCGGGGGAUAACUACUCGCAAGAGUAGCUAAUACCGCAUACGAUCUAUGGAUGAAAGCGGGGGACCGUAAGGCCUCGCGCGAUUGGAGCGGCCGAUGUCAGAUUAGGUAGUUGGUGGGGUAAAGGCUCACCAAGCCAACGAUCUGUAGCUGGUCUGAGAGGACGACCAGCCACACUGGGACUGAGACACGGCCCAGACUCCUACGGGAGGCAGCAGUGGGGAAUUUUGGACAAUGGGCGCAAGCCUGAUCCAGCAAUGCCGCGUGCAGGAAGAAGGCCUUCGGGUUGUAAACUGCUUUUGUACGGAACGAAACGGCUCUGGUUAAUACCCGGGGCUAAUGACGGUACCGUAAGAAUAAGCACCGGCUAACUACGUG
This 482-nucleotide ribosomal RNA is filed under the name uncultured bacterium. RNAcentral's name for it is "partial 16S ribosomal RNA". It matches the Rfam family "Bacterial small subunit ribosomal RNA", at positions 30 to 507 of the family's 1533-position model. The record is from RNAcentral.